RNAcentral lists this long non-coding RNA (209 nucleotides) under Elaeis guineensis (African oil palm). RNAcentral describes it as "long non-coding RNA (EGUI_LNC080589)". The record is from RNAcentral. Lineage: Eukaryota; Viridiplantae; Streptophyta; Magnoliopsida; Arecales; Arecaceae.
CGAUGCUGCCAUCGGUCGUUCUCUUCUUCUUCACUUCCUCCUCUGGUGCCUCUAAGCAUUAUGGUGUUGCUUGAAGGAACCAGAUCUAGGAUUUCAAAGUUAGAUCUUAAAACUUUUUUCAGAUCAAGCAGCGAAAGAAUAAAAUAAAUUAAAAUUUAUCUUAUAAAAUUAGAAAAUUUCUAGAUCUAAGAUCCUAUUACAUGAUUAUU